Molecule: unclassified non-coding RNA, 517 nt
Filed under: uncultured Glomeromycotina
Lineage: Eukaryota; Fungi; Glomeromycota
Description: SSU rRNA
Rfam family: Eukaryotic small subunit ribosomal RNA
Source: RNAcentral
CAGCCGCGUAAUUCCAGCUCCAAUAGCGUAUAUUAAAGUUGCUGCAGUUAAAAAGCUCGUAGUUGAAUUUCGGGACUAAUAUGUCGGUCGUGCCUCGGUACGUACUGGCUUAUUGGUUUCUCCUUUCUGAAGAACCAUGAUGUCAUUUAUUUGGUGUCGUGGGGAAUCAGGACUGUUACUUUGAAAAAAUUAGAGUGUUUAAAGCAGGCUCACGCUUGAAUACAUUAGCAUGGAAUAAUGAAAUAGGACGUUUGAUUCUAUUUUGUUGGUUUCUAGGAUCGACGUAAUGAUUAAUAGGGAUAGUUGGGGGCAUUAGUAUUCAAUUGUCAGAGGUGAAAUUCUUGGAUUUAUUGAAGACUAACUACUGCGAAAGCAUUUGCCAAGGAUGUUUUCAUUAAUCAAGAACGAAAGUUAGGGGAUCGAAGACGAUCAGAUACCGUCGUAGUCUUAACCAUAAACUAUGCCGACUAGGGAUCGGAUGAUGUUAAUUUUUUAAUGACUCAUUCGGCGCCUUACG